This 72-nucleotide transfer RNA is filed under the name Marmota marmota marmota (Alpine marmot). It matches the Rfam family "tRNA". From Rfam's summary of the family: Transfer RNA (tRNA) molecules are approximately 80 nucleotides in length. Lineage: Eukaryota; Metazoa; Chordata; Mammalia; Rodentia; Sciuridae. The record is from Rfam by way of RNAcentral. RNAcentral also lists the same sequence under 4 other names.
GGAGAUGUAGCUCAGUGGUACAGUACUUGCCUAGGCUGCAUGAGGCCCUGGGUUCAAUUCCCAGUACUAUUA